UAAUACAUGCAAGUCGAACGAGUUCUGAUUAUUGAAAGGUGCUUGCAUCUUGAUUUAAUGUUGAACGAGUGGCGGACGGGUGAGUAACACGUGGGUAACCUGCCCUUAAGUGGGGGAUAACAUUUGGAAACAGAUGCUAAUACCGCAUAAAUCCAAGAACCGCAUGGUUCUUGGCUGAAAGAUGGCGUAAGCUAUCGCUUUUGGAUGGACCCGCGGCGUAUUAGCUAGUUGGUGAGGUAACGGCUCACCAAGGCAAUGAUACGUAGCCGAACUGAGAGGUUGAUCGGCCACAUUGGGACUGAGACACGGCCCAAACUCCUACGGGAGGCAGCAGUAGGGAAUCUUCCACAAUGGACGCAAGUCUGAUGGAGCAACGCCGCGUGAGUGAAGAAGGCUUUCGGGUCGUAAAACUCUGUUGUUGGAGAAGAAUGGUCGGCAGAGUAACUGUUGUCGGCGUGACGGUAUCCAACCAGAAAGCCACGGCUAACUACGUGCCAGCAGCCGCGGUAAUACGUAGGUGGCAAGCGUUAUCCGGAUUUAUUGGGCGUAAAGCGAGCGCAGGCGGUUUUUUAAGUCUGAUGUGAAAGCCCUCGGCUUAACCGAGGAAGUGCAUCGGAAACUGGGAAACUUGAGUGCAGAAGAGGACAGUGGAACUCCAUGUGUAGCGGUGAAAUGCGUAGAUAUAUGGAAGUACACCAGUGGCGAAGGCGGCUG
Molecule: ribosomal RNA, 714 nt
Filed under: uncultured Bacilli bacterium
Lineage: Bacteria; Bacillati; Bacillota; Bacilli
Description: bacterial SSU rRNA
Rfam family: Bacterial small subunit ribosomal RNA
Source: RNAcentral